GUGAGUAACGACAAAACGGGUGAAAAACCCGUUCGCCGAAAGACCAAGGGUUCCAGUCCAACGUUAAUCGGGGCUGGGUGAGUCGACCCCUAAGGCGAGGCCGAAAGGCGUAGUCGAUGGGAAAAUGGUUAAUAUUCCAUUACUUCUGUGUAAUGCGAUGAGAGGACGGAGAAGGCUAAAUCAGCCUGGCGUUGGUUGUCCAGGUGAAAGGAUGUAGGCAUGUAUCUUAGGCAAAUCCGGGGUACUCUAUGCUGAGAUCUGAUAGCAAGCUGUACUUGUACAGCGAA
This 287-nucleotide ribosomal RNA is filed under the name Pseudomonas aeruginosa. RNAcentral describes it as "partial 23S ribosomal RNA". It matches the Rfam family "Bacterial large subunit ribosomal RNA", at positions 1302 to 1590 of the family's 2925-position model. The record is from RNAcentral. Lineage: Bacteria; Pseudomonadati; Pseudomonadota; Gammaproteobacteria; Pseudomonadales; Pseudomonadaceae.